Molecule: ribosomal RNA, 417 nt
Filed under: uncultured soil bacterium
Lineage: Bacteria
Description: bacterial SSU rRNA
Rfam family: Bacterial small subunit ribosomal RNA
Source: RNAcentral
AGAUUGAACGCUAGCGGGAUGCUUUACACAUGCAAGUCGAACGGCAGCGCGGACUUCGGUCUGGCGGCGAGUGGCGAACGGGUGAGUAAUAUAUCGGAACGUGCCCAGUAGCGGGGGAUAACUACGCGAAAGCGUGGCUAAUACCGCAUACGCCCUACGGGGGAAAGGGGGGGAUCGCAAGACCUCUCACUAUUGGAGCGGCCGAUAUCAGAUUAGCUAGUUGGUGAGGUAAAGGCUCACCAAGGCGACGAUCUGUAGCUGGUUUGAGAGGACGACCAGCCACACUGGGACUGAGACACGGCCCAGACUCCUACGGGAGCAGCAGUGGGAAUUUGGACAAGUGGGGAAACCUGAUCCAGCCAUCCCGCGUCGUGCGAUGAAGGCCGUUCGGUUAGUAAAGCGUACGUUUUCGGACGA